AAAGGUAAGCUACUAAGAGCGAAUGGUGGAUGCCUUGACUGGUAAAGGCGAUGAAGGACGUACUAGACUGCGAUAAGCUACGGGGAGCUGUCAAGAAGCUUUGAUCCGUAGAUUUCCGAAUGGGGCAACCCAAUGUAUAGAGAUAUACAUUACCUAUAUAGGAGCGAACGAGGGGAAUUGAAACAUCUUAGUACCCUCAGGAAAAGAAAUCAAUAGAGAUUGCGUCAGUAGCGGCGAGCGAAAGCGCAAGAGGGCAAACCCAGUGCUUGCAC
This 272-nucleotide ribosomal RNA is filed under the name Campylobacter jejuni. RNAcentral's name for it is "partial 23S ribosomal RNA". It matches the Rfam family "Bacterial large subunit ribosomal RNA", at positions 1 to 287 of the family's 2925-position model. Lineage: Bacteria; Pseudomonadati; Campylobacterota; Epsilonproteobacteria; Campylobacterales; Campylobacteraceae. The record is from RNAcentral.